GACGAACGCUGGCGGCGUGCCUAAUACAUGCAAGUCGAACGCAUUUUCUUUCACCGUAGCUUGCUACACCGAAAGAAAAUGAGUGGCGAACGGGUGAGUAACACGUGGGUAACCUGCCCAUCAGCGGGGGAUAACACUUGGAAACAGGUGCUAAUACCGCAUAAUUCCAUUUACCGCAUGGUAAAUGGAUGAAAGGCGCUUUUGCGUCACUGAUGGAUGGACCCGCGGUGCAUUAGCUAGUUGGUGGGGUAACGGCCUACCAAGGCUGCGAUGCAUAGCCGCCCUGAGGGGGGGAUGGCCCACACUGGGACUGAGACACGGCCCAGACCCCUACGGGGGGCAGCAGUAGGGAAUUUUGGGCAAGGGACGCAAGUCUGACCGAGCAACCCCGCGUGAGUGAAGAAGGUUUUCGGACCGUAAAACUCUUUUGUUAGGGAAGAACAAGGAUGAGAGGGGAAAGUUCCACCCUUGGCGGUAUUAAACCAGAAAGCCCCGGCUAACUCCGU
RNAcentral lists this ribosomal RNA (506 nucleotides) under uncultured bacterium. Its description in RNAcentral is "partial 16S ribosomal RNA". It matches the Rfam family "Bacterial small subunit ribosomal RNA", at positions 28 to 506 of the family's 1533-position model. The record is from RNAcentral.